UAUGCAUCAGCUUUAACACAUACCUAAUUAGCAUGGUGCUGCUUAGCAUCCCUUAUUCAUUUCCAUCUUUCAACAAUUAUAUCUCGCAACGCCGAAGCCAAAGUCAAAGCCAGAGACGAUAUGUUAAAAUUGGUAUCCGAUGUGGGAUAGCAGAGCCAUCAGGGGAACCAGCACCAUUAGGACAGAAAACAAAGUACAAUGAUGGAUUGUUUGAGAAGGCAUUCAUGACUCUAUUCGCACGCAAGAUGGAGAAUUUUGGAGCUAAUAAAAAAGAGUCUGAUCAAAAGAAGAAAGGCUUUUUUGAUUAUGAUUACGAUAGUUUUGUGGAUGUUUCGCGCAAAGUGAUGCAGGGGAGGUCACGGUUGCAGCAGCAGCAAGUGGUUCGUCAAGUCCUCAUGUCUAUGCUUCCUCCUGGAGCUCCAGCUCAGUUUAGGAAAUUGUUUCCACCAACACAGUGGGCAGCAGAAUUCAACGCCGCAAUUACUGUGCCUUUCUUCUUCUGGUUAGUUGGUCCUUCCGAGGUUGUCGAAGUGGAGGUAGAUGGGGUGAAGCAGAAAAGUGGAGUUCACAUAAAAAAGUGCAGGUAUUUAGAGAACAGUGGAUGUGUAGGAAUGUGUGUGAAUAUGUGCAAAAUACCAACACAAGAUUUCUUCACAAACGAAUUCGGACUUCCCUUAACAAUGAAUCCAAAUUUUGAGGACAUGAGUUGUGAAAUGAUAUACGGACAAGUACCACCGCCAUUUGAAGAAGAUCCUGUCUCCAAACAACCUUGUUAUGCGAAUAUAUGCACCAUUGCGAAUCCCAGCUCAAAUGUCUGUCCAAAACUCAGCGCGAAUUAGGUGGUGAUCAGUUUGGUUGAUUAUGUAACCACUUCAAUAUACAAUCCAUACGAUCGAGAAUAUAUAUAUGUUAUACAUUAUGUAACUUUUGUAA
This 933-nucleotide unclassified non-coding RNA is filed under the name Hevea brasiliensis (rubber tree). The record is from RNAcentral. Lineage: Eukaryota; Viridiplantae; Streptophyta; Magnoliopsida; Malpighiales; Euphorbiaceae.